This 524-nucleotide ribosomal RNA is filed under the name Simulium tani. RNAcentral's name for it is "partial 16S ribosomal RNA". It matches the Rfam family "Bacterial large subunit ribosomal RNA", at positions 1815 to 2605 of the family's 2925-position model. Lineage: Eukaryota; Metazoa; Arthropoda; Insecta; Diptera; Simuliidae. The record is from RNAcentral.
ACAUGUCUUUUUGGUAUUUAAUAUAAAGUCUGACCUGCCCACUGAAUUUAUUUUGAAGGGCCGCAGUAUUUUGACUGUGCAAAGGUAGCAUAAUCAUUAGUCUUUUAAUUGAAGGCUGGUAUGAAUGGUUGGAUGAGGUACAAGCUGUGUCAUAAAAAUUAAUAGUUGAAUUUACCUUUUUAGUCAAAAGGCUAAAAUGAAAUUAAAAGACGAGAAGACCCUAUAGAGCUUUAUAUAAUUUAUAUUUAAAUUAUUAAGAUUUUUUAAAUUUAAUUAUUAUUUUGUAUUUUGUUGGGGUGACAAUAAAAUUUAUAAAACUUUUAUUUUUAAUUUACAUUUAUUUAUGGUUACAUGAUCCAGUUUUAUUGAUUAUAAAUUUAAGUUACCUUAGGGAUAACAGCGUAAUUUUUUUUGAGAGUUCUUAUCGACAAAAAAGAUUGCGACCUCGAUGUUGGAUUAAGAGUAAUUUUGGGUGUAGAAGUUCAAAGUUUAAGUCUGUUCGACUUUUAAAUUCUUACAUGAUC